Long non-coding RNA from Trifolium pratense (red clover), 282 nucleotides. RefSeq lists it as uncharacterized. The record is from RefSeq and is a predicted model, not a curated record. NCBI's taxonomy places the organism in Eukaryota, Viridiplantae, Streptophyta, Magnoliopsida, Fabales, Fabaceae. The transcript is spliced from 2 exons.
UUUGUCCCUUAAGGAAUCUAGUUCCUUAGAUUACAAAAAAUGCGUAACAGACGGAGAAAAAACCUCCUCACCCACCGAAUACUACAUUGAGAAGGGAUUCCGGUAAUCCAGAAUUUGACUGCGAGGUUAGUAAAAUCUAGCAAAAACUUGUUUCUACCGAAAAUCAAAUUCGGAUUCCCUCGGACGAUUCGUCCUAAGGAGAGGUCGUUAACAUUUGAGCUCAAUGUCUUGGUUAUUUUACUAAUUACUUGUAAAUUAGUCAUUGAUUAUACUAUUGUUAAA